CAGCCGUAAACUAUGCUCGCUAGGUGUCAGGCAUGGCGCGACCGUGUCUGGUGCCGCAGGGAAGCCGUGAAGCGAGCCACCUGGGAAGUACGGCCGCAAGGCUGAAACCUAAAGGAUUGGCGGGGGAGCACAACAACGGGUGGAGCCUGCGGUUUAAUUGGACUCAACGCCGGACAACUCACCGGGGACGACAGCAAUAUGUAGGCCAGUCUGAAGACCUUGCCUGAAUCGCUGAGAGGAGGUGCAUGGCGUAGACGUCU
This 260-nucleotide ribosomal RNA is filed under the name uncultured archaeon. RNAcentral describes it as "partial 16S ribosomal RNA". It matches the Rfam family "Archaeal small subunit ribosomal RNA", at positions 748 to 1009 of the family's 1478-position model. The record is from RNAcentral.